UAUUCUGUGCACAACAGUAAUUCACUAAUUUGGUUCAUUGUUUAAGUGAUUCCGCAGAAUUCUAUUGCACCUUUAUUCCCUCAACUCUUGUAAUAGAAUUUCAGGGGUUGGGGGGUCUGAAUUGCUAUUCAAAAUCACCCGUAAUAACAUUUUUCCUUUUUUGGACCAAAAUAGCCUACCUCUCUUAUUCAUCGUUUUCACUUUCACUUCAGCAGAUUUCUUCCUUGACAUUUAUCCCCAAAGUGAACCCUAGAAAUUAGCUCCUUAAUCGACGACAAAUCAAGCAUUCAUUCGCCAUCUUCAUCUUCAUCUUCCUUCUAGUUGAACCUCCUUAUUUACAGUAAGUGCCUUUGAUUCCUAUUUUUUUCUCUGAUUUUUUAGUUAAAGUUCUUUCACUUCUUUCAACUGCUCUUUUCCCCUUUCAUAUUUGGAUAUAAACUAGCAAAGCAGAUUGUAAAACCAGCAAAGCAAAUUAUUCUUGGAUGAUUCAGUGAUAAGCAACUAUUUUGGUUCACCAAAUCCUCCAUCCGACAGAAUUUCAUUCAUCUCCCAUUCACAAAAUUAGUCGAUUGGUUGAUCCGAUUAUUUAGGGAAAUUUAGGGUUAGAAAGCUAAACUUGUUUUUUUUCGAAUUGUUGGGCAUUUCUGUUUAUUGUAAGGGAUUUCAGGUUGCUUGUCUCAAUAGUAAGGGAUUUCAAUUUCAGGUUGGAAUUUGUUGUUUGUGGAAAAUGGGUUGGUGGAGUUUUGGAUUUUGAGCUUUGAAUCAGUUAAGCAAGAAAAAGAAAAAGAAAACAGAGGCAGGGGAGAUAAGGAAAUCAUUUUACCAGUAAAUUUGCCAUUGCUUUGCUUUGCUUUUUUUUUUUAAAUUUUGAUUCUGAAAUGUUGGGCUAGUUACAGUGUAAGCUGAACAAAGCAUUUCAGUUGAGAAAAUAAUUGAAGUUAAAUUAAAGAUAAAUUCGACAUAUGUGCUAAUAUGCUUUGUUUAUUUUUGAAUCUUAAUGCUUAGAAAAUCAUAAGUUGCAUAGAGAUUUAGCUACUGCAUCGGGUUUUAGAUAAAGUUUUACCAGCAUCAUUAGGUUUUCUUUUAAUCUUAUCAAUUAAACAUUUGAUUGAUAAUUUUAGUUUUUUGGGAUUUUAAUUAAUUGGAUAUUGGGUUCGAACGUUUGAUUAGUUUAAUGUAGCUGUAUAAUAUGUGGAAAUAUUUGGUAACAGCUAUCCUGAAAUUUGAUGUAUCAAUCCUUUGUGAUGCUGAAUGGCCUAUGUUGGGAAUUAGGGUUUUCAGUCCUCUUUAGAAAUUGGAUAGAUUUCUUACCUUGCUGCUUGUCCGUAGUUCCACCAAAAAAAUAUGACCCUAUGUUAGGCCUUUUAUGGAGUUUAGAUGGAAGUUUUAGAUGUUGCAAAAUUAGAUUGCUUUUAGUGCAAUGGUUCUUUUUACUGGAUUUUGUUUAAUGAUGCUUUAUUUGAUACAGUUUAAUGUGCUUUUUAGAUCAUAUGUUUCAGAUGAGAUGGAUCAGAGUAUUUAGAAGAAUACGGUGAGAACAGGGUAAUUUUCAAACUGUGUUCUUAACCUUAAAUGCUACUGUUUCUUCCUCUUCUUUCUUUCUUUUUCUUAAAUUUUGUUAGUAUAAUGUUAUAAGUUGAAAGAAGUAAGAGCAUUUAUUUCUUUGUAUUUUCUGCCCUCUUGGAAUGUACCGUAUACAUUAUGUUGUUGUGGUUAACUUUAACAUUUUAUUGGAGUGUUUUGAAAACUAGGAGGAUAGAGGAUUGGUGGGAAGAAUGAUAGAAAAUGAGAGUACUUUUUCAUUCAUAUGCUCUCUAAGAAUGAUUUAGAAUUGGAAUGCAAGAAAAUGAUAUACCUAUUUAGUUUUUGUCUGUAAUCUCGCCAUCCUUUUUGUUUUGCUGGAUUAAAUAUUUAAGGUUUUAAGCUGUAAUUAGAAGAUGUCAUAGUUAUAAUUAAGAUGUCCUACUGCUGUAUCGUGAUUAAAAUGUAAGUAUUCAUGCUGUAAGUAUUUAUGUUGUCUUAAAACAUUAUCUGAAGUGGAUUAAUUGUUGUAAUUUAAACGGCCUUAAUAAUGAAAUUGUGGUAUCUUAAAAUGAUAAAUUGAGAGGAGUUAUAGUUGUAAUUUAUAGUGCUUGGGUGUCGUGGUUAAAAUGUAUAACUCUGGGAUUGAUAUUGAUGAUGUGCUGGUAAUGAAUAAAUCGAGUUUAAUUUGCCAAAUGACAUGUUAUUUUAGAAAUACAAAUUGAGUGUUGCUAAUGGUGAGUUUUCUUUAAACUCCUUUAUUAUUUCCAUGCUCAAAAUUCUUAUCAAUUUUACAUGGAUGAUUCGGCGAUAGUUAAAUAGGGAAAAAAAUUGUUCUUUACAAAUUUCAUGGUUGCUACUGUUUUGUAUUGGUUAAACUUGUUUAUUUCAGAUUUAGUUGUUGUCCAAUUAGUGCAAAAAUUUCCUGUAGCUCAAGCAAAGUAGAUGCUGUUGCUGCUCGGUUUUGUACUUUUAAAGCCCUAUUUAAGUACUGCAAUUUGAAGUGUUUAGUAGUUGGAAAUUGAGAUGUUUUAUUGCUGUAAUUGAGGUGCAUAAAUGUUGUUAAUAGAGAUGUUAAAGUGCUGCAAAUUGAAGUGUUUAAAUGCUGUAAAUUGAAGUGUUAAAAUGUAGCAAAUUGAAGUAUUUAAAUGCUGUGAAUUGAAGUGUUAAAGUGCUGCAAAUUGAAGUGUUUAAAUGUUGUAAAUUGAAGUGUUUUAAGUACUGAGGUGUAUAAAUGUUGUUAAUUGGGAUGUUAAAGUGUUGUAAGUUGAGGUGUUUAAAUGCUGUAAAUUGAAGUGUUUAAUUGUUGUAAAUUGAGGUGCUGAAAUGAUGUAAAUCGAAGUGUUUAAGUGCUGCAAAUAAUAUAUGAUUUAAUAACAUUCUUAAUAUAAUUAUCUCAACAAACGAAACAAAAAAAAAAGAGAAAGUAAAAUGCUACAAACAAAUCAUGUUAUGGUAAGAAUGUAAC
RNAcentral lists this long non-coding RNA (2989 nucleotides) under Gossypium barbadense (sea-island cotton). RNAcentral's name for it is "long non-coding RNA (GBAR_LNC014684)". Lineage: Eukaryota; Viridiplantae; Streptophyta; Magnoliopsida; Malvales; Malvaceae. The record is from RNAcentral.